GGAAGUAAAAGUCGUAACAAGGUUUCCGUAGGUGAACCUGCGGAAGGAUCAUUACCGAGUUUUCGAGCUCCGGCUCGACUCUCCCACCCUUUGUGAACGUACCUCUGUUGCUUUGGCGGCUCCGGCCGCCAAAGGACCUUCAAACUCCAGUCAGUAAACGCAGACGUCUGAUAAACAAGUUAAUAAACUAAAACUUUCAACAACGGAUCUCUUGGUUCUGGCAUCGAUGAAGAACGCAGCGAAAUGCGAUAAGUAAUGUGAAUUGCAGAAUUCAGUGAAUCAUCGAAUCUUUGAACGCACAUUGCGCCCCUUGGUAUUCCGGGGGGCAUGCCUGUUCGAGCGUCAUUACAACCCUCAAGCUCUGCUUGGAAUUGGGCACCGUCCUCACUGCGGACGCGCCUCAAAGACCUCGGCGGUGGCUGUUCAGCCCUCAAGCGUAGUAGAAUACACCUCGCUUUGGAGCGGUUGGCGUCGCCCGCCGGACGAACCUUCUGAACUUUUCUCAAGGUUGACCUCGGAUCAGGUAGGGAUACCCGCUGAACUUAAGCAUAUCAAUAAGCGGAGGA
This 566-nucleotide ribosomal RNA is filed under the name fungal sp. ARIZ B340. Its description in RNAcentral is "eukaryotic LSU rRNA". The stretch from base 192 to 345 matches the Rfam family "5.8S ribosomal RNA". The record is from RNAcentral. Lineage: Eukaryota; Fungi.